This 497-nucleotide ribosomal RNA is filed under the name uncultured bacterium. RNAcentral's name for it is "partial 16S ribosomal RNA". It matches the Rfam family "Bacterial small subunit ribosomal RNA", at positions 28 to 507 of the family's 1533-position model. The record is from RNAcentral.
GUCGAACGCUGGCGGCGUGCCUAAUACAUGCAAGUAGAACGCUGAAGAGAGGAGCUUACUCCUCUUGGAUGAGUUGCGAACGGGUGAGUAACGCGUAGGUAACCUGCCUUGUAGCGGGGGAUAACUAUUGGAAACGAUAGCUAAUACCGCAUAACAAUGGAUGACACAUGUCAUUUAUUUGAAAGGGGCAAUUGCUCCACUACAAGAUGGACCUGCGUUGUAUUAGCUAGUAGGUGAGGUAAUGGCUCACCUAGGCGACGAUACAUAGCCGACCUGAGAGGGUGAUCGGCCACACUGGGACUGAGACACGGCCCAGACUCCUACGGGAGGCAGCAGUAGGGAAUCUUCGGCAAUGGGGGCAACCCUGACCGAGCAACGCCGCGUGAGUGAAGAAGGUUUUCGGAUCGUAAAGCUCUGUUGUAAGUCAAGAACGGGUGUGAGAGUGGAAAGUUCACACUGUGACGGUAGCUUACCAGAAAGGGACGGCUAACUACGUG